RNAcentral lists this ribosomal RNA (407 nucleotides) under uncultured bacterium. RNAcentral's name for it is "partial 16S ribosomal RNA". It matches the Rfam family "Bacterial small subunit ribosomal RNA", at positions 30 to 526 of the family's 1533-position model. The record is from RNAcentral.
AUUGAACGCUGGCGGCAUGCCUAACACAUGCAAGUCGAGCGGAGCGGCGGACGGGUGAGUAAUGCCUAGGAAUCUGCCUGGGAGUGGGGGAUAACUUCCGGCAACGGGCGCUAAUUCCGCAUACUAUCCGAUGAGCAUAGGUCGGAUUAGCUAGUUGGUGGGGCAAAGGCCUACCAAGGAGAAGAUCCGUGACUGGUCUGAGAGGAUGAUCAGUCACACUUGAACGGAGACACGGUCCAGACUCCUACGGGAGGCAGCAGUGGGGAAUAUUGGACAAUGGGCGAAUGCCUGGUCCAGCCAUGCCGCGUGUGUGAAGAAGGUCUUCGGAUUGUAAAGCACUUUAAGUUGGGAGGCGUUACCAACAGAAUAAGCACCGGCUAACUUCGUGCCAGCCGCCGCGGUAAUAC